AGUGAACGCUGGCGGUAGGCCUAACACAUGCAAGUCGAACGGCAGCACAGAGGAGCUUGCUCCUUGGGUGGCGAGUGGCGGACGGGUGAGGAAUACAUCGGAAUCUACUCUGUCGUGGGGGAUAACGUAGGGAAACUUACGCUAAUACCGCAUACGACCUACGGGUGAAAGCAGGGGAUCUUCGGACCUUGCGCGAUUGAAUGAGCCGAUGUCGGAUUAGCUAGUUGGCGGGGUAAAGGCCCACCAAGGCGAAGAUCCGUAGCUGGUCUGAGAGGAUGAUCAGCCACACUGGAACUGAGACACGGGCCAGACUCCUACGGGAGGCAGCAGUGGGGAAUAUUGGACAAUGGGCGCAAGCCUAAUCCAGCCAUACCGCGUGGGUGAAGAAGGCCUUCGGGUUGUAGAGCCCUUUUGUUGGGAAAGAAAUCCAGCUGGCUAAUACCCGGUUGGGAUGGCGGUACCCAAAGAAUAAGCACCGGCUAACUUCGUGCCAGCAGCCGCCGCGG
RNAcentral lists this ribosomal RNA (506 nucleotides) under uncultured bacterium. Its description in RNAcentral is "partial 16S ribosomal RNA". It matches the Rfam family "Bacterial small subunit ribosomal RNA", at positions 29 to 523 of the family's 1533-position model. The record is from RNAcentral.